Molecule: long non-coding RNA, 990 nt
Organism: Cyprinus carpio (common carp)
Lineage: Eukaryota; Metazoa; Chordata; Actinopteri; Cypriniformes; Cyprinidae
Source: Ensembl
AACUGUUUUUCUGGUUAUUUCCUAAGGGACGAAAAGGAAAAUUCAGAGGGAACGAGAAUAAUAAAUGCAAAUUAUGAAUCCGUUUACCAAACACCGGCAAGAGGAAGUUCACAGUCUUCAAGGCACCAAAUUACACCAUUGAUCCGAACCCAAAAUGGCUCCAUGUCUGGCAUUUUCAGAGGCCGUUUCCAAGUCAAUGUCAUCCUAUCUGCCUUAAACUAAAAGAGACAAAUACGACUGGAAUAAGGUAAAGAUGGAGUGGUUGUCUUGCUGUUGUGCUGGUAUCAGACAUGGGCUCUUCAUCAGAUGACUAAUGGAGUUGUGCAGCUAACCAGGAGGCCCAAGGCUGUUUGUUAGCUCCUAACAAGGUGAACCAGCUCCUACGGAACAGCACACUAGCGCUGAAGGAUUUAUUAUAGAUCUGCGUGUCCGCGGGCCAUGAACAGUAUAGCGCCGGUCUCAUUGUAGUGGGUCCACCACACUAGCAGAGGGUUUAGAUCAUUAUUGCCUCAUUGUUUUGAUACAAUUUUGCAGAGCGGAUGAUGGAUGGAUGGAUAAUCGGAUGAGUAAAGGAGUUUUGGUAGCCUAGCACAUGAGGGUAAUGGAUGGACUGCAAAAACACACGAAAAUGAUAAGGAAAAGUGAGUUUUGAACAUGUUUUAUGGUGGAAUUUGGAAAAACAUUUUCAGUCUUUACACAUUUAGAUAGUUGACAUUGUUGAGUAGUUGACAGUGAUGUACUGUAGUAUGUUAUAAUUCACCUAAAGUUAUAUUAAACAGCAUUGUUUUUAAUAAUUAUAUAUUCAUUUAGAAAGACUUACUUUCUUAUUUAGUUACAUAUAAAAAAUACAAAUUAAAAAAAAAAAAUAUAUAUAUAUAUAUAUAUAUAUAAAUAUAUUUACAUUUUAAAUAUUUGAUUUGCACAUUUAGUAUGUGUGUGUGUUUUUUUAAUUGUACAAAUUUAAAAAUACAAAAACACUAAAACAUUUAA